RNAcentral lists this ribosomal RNA (253 nucleotides) under uncultured bacterium. RNAcentral describes it as "partial 16S ribosomal RNA". It matches the Rfam family "Bacterial small subunit ribosomal RNA", at positions 524 to 776 of the family's 1533-position model. The record is from RNAcentral.
UACAGAGGGGGCAAGCGUUAUUCGGAAUUAUUGGGCGUAAAGGGCGCGUAGGCGGCCAGGCAAGUGGAAGGUGAAAUCCCUCGGCUUAACCGAGGAACUGCCCUCCAAACUGCUUGGCUUGAGACCGGGAGAGGUGAGUGGAAUUCCCAGUGUAGCGGUGAAAUGCGUAGAUAUCUGGAGGAAUACCGGUGGCGAAGGCGGCAUCCUGGACCGGCAUUGACGCUGAUGAGCGAAAGCUAGGGGAGCAAACGUG